CGGUGACAGGUGGUGCAUGGUUGUCGUCAGCUCGUGUCGUGAGAUGUUGGUUAAGUCCCGCAACGAGCGCAACCCUCGACCUUAGUUGCCAGCAUUCAGUUGGGCACUCUAAGGUGACUGCCGGCUAAAAGUCGGAGGAAGUGGGGAUGACGUCAAAUCAUCAUGCCCCUUAUGACCUGGGCUACACACGUGCUACAAUGGGCGGUACAAAGGGUCGCGAACCCGCGAGGGGGAGCCAAUCCCAAAAAGCCGCUCUCAGUUCGGAUUGCAGGCUGCAACUCGCCUGCAUGAAGCCGGAAUCGCUAGUAAUCGCGGAUCAGCAUGCCGCGGUGAAUACGUUCCCGGGCCUU
Molecule: ribosomal RNA, 350 nt
Filed under: uncultured Anoxybacillus sp.
Lineage: Bacteria; Bacillati; Bacillota; Bacilli; Caryophanales; Anoxybacillaceae
Description: bacterial SSU rRNA
Rfam family: Bacterial small subunit ribosomal RNA
Source: RNAcentral